UAUUGCACAAUGGGGGGAACCCUGAUGCAGCGACGCCGCGUGAGGGAAGAAGGUUUUUGGAUNGUAAACCUCUGUCCUCGGUAAANNAGNNNGNCGGUAGCCAAGGAGGAAGCCACGGCUAACUACGUGCNNNCNGCCGCGGUAAUACGUAGGUGGCAAGCGUUGUCCGGAAUUACUGGGUGUAAAGGGAGCGUAGGCGGUUAUGCAAGUUGAAUGUGAAAUCUAUCGGCUCAACUGAUAGGCUGCGUUCAAAACUGUAUAUCUUGAGUGAAGUAGAGGCAGGCGGAAUUCCUAGUGUAGCGGUGAAAUGCGUAAAUAUUAGGAGGAACACCAGUGGCGAAGGCGGCCUGCUGGGCUUUAACUGACGCUGAGGCUCGAAAGCGUAGGUAGCAAACAG
Molecule: ribosomal RNA, 397 nt
Filed under: uncultured bacterium
Lineage: Bacteria
Description: partial 16S ribosomal RNA
Rfam family: Bacterial small subunit ribosomal RNA
Source: RNAcentral